Molecule: microRNA precursor, 94 nt
Filed under: Canis lupus familiaris (dog)
Lineage: Eukaryota; Metazoa; Chordata; Mammalia; Carnivora; Canidae
Also listed under: 1 other name
Description: mir-8799 microRNA precursor family
Rfam family: mir-8799 microRNA precursor family
Source: Rfam by way of RNAcentral
AGGGGGAGCGCAGGGUCCUGGGCUGUGUCCCCAACGUCCUGGGCUCUGGGGCCUGCACUGCUGGCAUCACACUCCCGGGGCCGCGCAGCCCCCU